This 449-nucleotide ribosomal RNA is filed under the name uncultured bacterium. Its description in RNAcentral is "partial 16S ribosomal RNA". It matches the Rfam family "Bacterial small subunit ribosomal RNA", at positions 29 to 523 of the family's 1533-position model. The record is from RNAcentral.
AACGAACGCUGGCGGCAGGCUUAAUACAUGCAAGUCGAGCGGGCACUUCGGUGUCAGCGGCGCACGGGUGCGUAACGCGUGGGAACAUGCCUUUAGGUACGGAACAACACAGGGAAACUUGUGCUAAUACCGUAUAAUAUCUUCGGAUCAAAGAUUUAUCGCCUAAAGAUUGGCCCGCGUUAGAUUAGGUAGUUGGUGGGGUAAUGGCCUACCAAGCCGACGAUCUAUAGGGGGUCUGAGAGGAUGAUCCCCCACACUGGAACUGAGACACGGUCCAGACUCCUACGGGAGGCAGCAGUAAGGAAUAUUGGACAAUGGGCGAAAGCCUGAUCCAGCCAUGCCGCGUGAGUGAUGAAGGCCUUAGGGUUGUAAAGCUCUUUUAGAUGGGAAGAUAAUGACUGUACCAUCAGAAUAAGCCCUGGCUAAAUUCGUGCCAGCCGCCGCCGUAA